UCCAUUUGAGUUUUUUUUUAGGUCCACGUUAGUCAGCAUCUGUUGUUUUUCAGCCAACUAUGAAGCAAGUUGUGCCUAGAUAGGUGGUUGUACUUUUAGCGUUUAAAGUAGGCAAUGCAAUUGAUGAUCUGCUUUAAUCUGAGAAACUAGUAAAUCAUAUUGGUGAAAAUACAACAUAUUUUGGCCCAAAUUUCAGUUAGCGUCUGUUGUUUUUCAGCCUACUAUGAAGCAAGUUGCGCCUACAUCGGUGGUUGUACUUUUAGCAGUCAAAGUAGGCAAUGCAAAUUCUAAUCCGCAUUAAUCUGAGAAACUAGUAAAUCACAUCGGUGAAAAUACUAGAUAUUUUGGCUAAAAAAUUACAGCUGCUUGAUCCCUGAUGCCCAUCACUCAGGAAUCAUGGUGUUCAAAAGCUCAAAAUGCAUUUAGUAGUCAUAGGGAACAGCAGAACAAAUUGCCAACAAAUUGAUAAUGUUGUGAUUGUGGCAGGUACUCGCUGAACAUAUGGGAUGUUGGGGGGCAGAAGACCAUCCGUUCAUACUGGAGGAACUACUUCGAGCAGACUGACGGUCUCGUUUGGGUGGUCGAUAGUUCCGAUGUUCGAAGGCUCGAUGAUUGCCGUGCGGAGCUCCAUAAUCUUCUGAAAGAAGAGGUAAACCGCCUAGUGAAUACCACUGAUCAUCCACUUUAGCGUAAUUCGUCUUGGUUUUUUUGCUUUGAAUAACUUCACUGAAAACUAGCAAAAGAUAAUGUUUGCUGUUUAGCAUCAGGAAACUCUUGGGACUACAAAUUUGGUUACCUAGCAUGUUUGUGCUUAAUUUAUGUGCUAUCUUGUUCAACUAUUGGAGUGAGCCUUCAAAUUUCUGUUGCAGAGACUGGCUGGAUCAUCGUUGUUAGUUUUCGCAAAUAAGCAAGACAUUCAGGGCGCUUUGAAGCCUGACGAAAUCGCCAAGGUAAAACACACUAGUCAAGCAGUAUGUAUAUGGACCCCCAUAUAUUGGUCUAUUAUCUUCGUACCUGGAGCCACAUGAUCAUCUUGUGAUCUUUGCUUUAAGGACAGUCAAAACGGAAAAUAAUCCUAGCAUAUACAUACAAGUUUGUGGUCUUUGCUUCAUGAUGAUUUUAAAAAAAACUAAUAAUUGGCAUGUUGUUUAGUGUUCUUCGAGUUUGAUGGUAACCGGGUGGAGUUUUUGGAUCCAGGUUCUGAAUCUUGAAGUGAUGAACAAGGACCGGCACUGGAAGAUCGUCGGCUGCAGCGCCUACACAGGCGACGGCCUGCUCCAGGGCUUCGACUGGCUGGUCCAGGACAUCGCCUCCCGCAUCUAUGUCCUCGACUGAAACAACAACCAAACUCUGGACAUUUAGCCAUCUGCACUACUGUUAUUGGUUACACCGGCUACCUCAUGUAAUCCGAUCAAGUUUGAACCAAACCAUAGAUGAUGAAACUUUUGUUAUGCACUCUCAUUGAGCUCUGCGUACUGCAAUCGUCAGUUGGUGCGAUCUGUUGCUUAAACAGAAGGUGGAUGAGAUGCACAUCGCAAUGUCUAAAUUUUAUAUUACUCACUGAAAUGGCAGCAAGCUUGGUGCGAUCUGUUGCUUAAACAGAAGGUGGAUGCUUCAGAACAUUUCACUAGAUCUACAAUAUGCUUGCUUGAAGAAAAAGAUAAUGGAUGCUUCAUAACGAAAGAGAGAAAAGAAUAAAAGCAUCAGGACACAUAGGAGGAUAUUUCGCAGCUAUCACUUGCAUUUUCUUCAUCCAUUUAAACUGACUUCAAACAUAGGAUUCCAACAUCACAUCCCAAUCCAUGACAGAAGGGAUUGCUGCAUCACCGACGAACACGACCGACUGAAAGAUAACACAUGUUGUUUCUUCCUCGCGUAACCAGCUCUAAUUAACCCCGGACAGAGCGACACUCGAGCUCGCGAUCAAAAACACCACAGGACCGAACGACACACACGACUCAAGACUGACUGACACAGGAACACGACGACGACGACACUGAAGAUAACUUGCUGACGAAGACGACGAGAUGGUAGAUAGAUCGAUAACUGGAGGGCCCCGCCGCUCAGUUCCUCCA
Molecule: long non-coding RNA, 2075 nt
Filed under: Triticum aestivum (bread wheat)
Lineage: Eukaryota; Viridiplantae; Streptophyta; Magnoliopsida; Poales; Poaceae
Description: long non-coding RNA (TAES_LNC004982)
Source: RNAcentral